CUUUGAACGCAGCCUUGCGCCCCUUGGCUCAUUCCGAGGGGAACACCCGUCAUUGAGUGUCGUGAAUACUCUCAACCUUCUUGUGUUUCUUUGAACCANGAAGGCUUGGACUUUGNAGGUUUUUUGUUGCUGGCCUCUUUUGAAGCCAGCUCCUCCUAAAUGAAUGGGUGNGGUCCGCUUUGCUGAUCCUCGACGUGAUAAGCAUUUGUUUCUACGUCUUGGGCUUUGCGGUGUCAGCUCGGAACCCCCGCUUUUCAACCGUCUUUGGACAAAGACAAGGUUCGAGUUGCAACUCGACCUUACAAACCUUGACCUCAAAUCGGGUGAGACUACCCGCUGA
This 340-nucleotide ribosomal RNA is filed under the name uncultured Russulaceae. RNAcentral's name for it is "eukaryotic LSU rRNA". Lineage: Eukaryota; Fungi; Basidiomycota; Agaricomycetes; Russulales; Russulaceae. The record is from RNAcentral.